CGGAAGCCCAGGGCCGAGGCGCAUGUCGCCGCCCUCGCUGCUCCAAGGGAAACUGCUUGGUCUCCGCGAGGGCUGGGGGGCGGCCCAGGUGUUGCUAGAGGAAAGCUGGUUGCCAGGAUACCUCCUUGAAAACAAGCAGAAUACAGACAUUGAUUUACAGACGCAUCCUCUGGUGUCCACAGCGAAGAAGGGGUCCUCAGAACCUGAGAGACCCUUCCAGGGACGUCCUCAGCUCAGGUGACUCGAGCCGCAGCUAGGCGCCUGGGCGGGCCUCGAAAGGGCCCCUUACAGGCACCUCCCACAGCGAGGGGGGAGCCUGGUCCACUUUGAACUUAACUUCUCUC
This 344-nucleotide long non-coding RNA is filed under the name Dasypus novemcinctus (nine-banded armadillo). RNAcentral describes it as "lncRNA (ENSDNOG00000052580.1)". The record is from RNAcentral. Lineage: Eukaryota; Metazoa; Chordata; Mammalia; Cingulata; Dasypodidae.